Molecule: long non-coding RNA, 433 nt
Filed under: Homo sapiens (human)
Lineage: Eukaryota; Metazoa; Chordata; Mammalia; Primates; Hominidae
Description: non-protein coding lnc-RAB2A-1:3
Source: RNAcentral
AUUACCAAGGCAUCAGGGCAGAGACUCCCUGAGGCUAUGCUAGAAGGGUACCAUUUGAAAAGGAAGUGUAUGACCCACCGUGAAAUGGAACUGGUAGCUGGUCACCCAGGUGCUCUUCCUUGUUAACUGAUGAGAGCGAUUAUUAUGUGAGAACUUUAACAACCUGCCAAAGGAUCCCGGGGCAAGAAUGAGAGCUGAACCAUUGAAAAGCUGAGCAUCGAAGUGCCUGGGAAGCCCAAAACUCAGCACAUUCAUGCUUUUGCUGGUUUUUGACCAUUGAGAAGAAAAAAGAGUCAGCAACCAGGGAGCAGGAUGAGUGGAUCUGGUUCAGAACAUCUGUGAACACAGAGGGAGUGGAAACUUCACUUUCAACAUCAUCAGCCAACUUCCCUCCCAUUACAAUUCUAUCUCAAGAUCAAGGUCAUGCAACAAA